CUCUCUCUCUCUCUCUGGGUGAGUGCGUUGGAAUGUGGAAUGGAAUGCCGACUCGGAUUGCGACACCGUCAAAUUGCGGGAACCCCCUAAAGCCUCAUCUACCAAGUUGGAUUGGAAACAGUCCAAUGGCCGAGUUAACAGCCCUGGGUACGGUAACAACGAUGAGGAUGGAACAAUGGGCAAUCCGCAGCCAAGUCCUAAGUCGUGAACAGCUGGGGUUGUGUCACGAUAUGGAUGCAGUUCAUCGACUAAAUGGUGGU
Molecule: self-splicing intron, 260 nt
Filed under: Polymyxa betae
Lineage: Eukaryota; Endomyxa; Phytomyxea; Plasmodiophorida; Plasmodiophoridae
Rfam family: Group I catalytic intron
About the family: Group I catalytic introns are large self-splicing ribozymes. They catalyse their own excision from mRNA, tRNA and rRNA precursors in a wide range of organisms.
Source: RNAcentral